GAUGAACGCUAGCUACAGGCUUAACACAUGCAAGUCGCGGGGCAGCAUGGGGGUUGCUUGCAAUCCCCGAUGGCGACCGGCGCACGGGUGAGUAACGCGUAUCCAACCUGCCCUUCACCACGGGAUAACCCGGCGAAAGUCGGACUAAUACCGUAUGUUGUCCAUUGACGGCAUCCGAUUUGGACGAAAGGUUUGGCGGUGAAGGAUGGGGAUGCGUCCGAUUAGCUGGACGGCGGGGUGACGGCCCACCGUGGCGACGAUCGGUAGGGGUUCUGAGAGGAAGGUCCCCAACACUGGAACUGAGACCCGGCCCAGACUCCUACGGGAGGCAGCAGUGAGGAAUAUUGGUCAAUGGGCGUAAGCCUGAACCAGCCAAGUAGCGGGCAGGAUGACGGCCCUAUGGGUUGUAAACUGCUUUUAUGCGGGGAUAAAGUGGCCCACGUGUGGGUUUUUGCAGGUACCGAAUGAAUAAGGACCGGCUAAUUCCGUG
Molecule: ribosomal RNA, 490 nt
Filed under: uncultured bacterium
Lineage: Bacteria
Description: partial 16S ribosomal RNA
Rfam family: Bacterial small subunit ribosomal RNA
Source: RNAcentral